This 137-nucleotide ribosomal RNA is filed under the name uncultured Trebouxiophyceae. RNAcentral's name for it is "partial small subunit ribosomal RNA". It matches the Rfam family "Eukaryotic small subunit ribosomal RNA", at positions 1670 to 1804 of the family's 1831-position model. The record is from RNAcentral. Lineage: Eukaryota; Viridiplantae; Chlorophyta; Trebouxiophyceae.
CGCCCGUCGCUCCUACCGAUUGGGUGUGCUGGUGAAGCUUUCGGAUUGGCGACUGCUGACGGUUCCCCGCCGGCUGUCGCUGAGAAGUCAGUUAAACCCUCCCACCUAGAGGAAGGAGAAGUCGUAACAAGGUUUCC